Molecule: ribosomal RNA, 247 nt
Filed under: uncultured Eubacteriales bacterium
Lineage: Bacteria; Bacillati; Bacillota; Clostridia; Eubacteriales
Description: uncultured Clostridiales bacterium partial 16S ribosomal RNA
Rfam family: Bacterial small subunit ribosomal RNA
Source: RNAcentral
CACGCCGUAAACGAUGAGUGCUAGGUGUCGGGGGUUCACACCCUCGGUGCCGGAGUUAACGCAUUAAGCACUCCGCCUGGGGAGUACGGUCGCAAGACUGAAACUCAAAGGAAUUGACGGGGACCCGCACAAGCAGCGGAGCAUGUGGUUUAAUUCGAAACAACGCGAAGAACCUUACCAGGACUUGACAUCCCUUUGACCGGUCCUUAACCGGACUUUUCCCUUCGGGGACAAAGGAGACAGGUGG